RNAcentral lists this ribosomal RNA (445 nucleotides) under uncultured bacterium. Its description in RNAcentral is "partial 16S ribosomal RNA". It matches the Rfam family "Bacterial small subunit ribosomal RNA", at positions 330 to 792 of the family's 1533-position model. The record is from RNAcentral.
UCCAGACUCCUACGGGAGGCAGCAGUGGGGGAUAUUGCACAAUGGGGGGAACCCUGAUGCAGCGACGCCGCGUGGGUGAAGAAGCGCCUCGGCGCGUAAAGCCCUGUCAGCAGGGAAGAAAAUGACGGUACCUGACUAAGAAGCCCCGGCUAACUACGUGCCAGCAGCCGCGGUAAUACGUAGGGGGCAAGCGUUAUCCGGAUUUACUGGGUGUAAAGGGAGCGUAGGCGGCAGUGCAAGUCAGAAGUGAAAGCCCGGGGCUCAACUCCGGGACUGCUUUUGAAACUGUACAGCUUGAUUGCAGGAGAGGCAAGUGGAAUUCCUAGUGUAGCGGUGAAAUGCGUAGAUAUUAGGAGGAACACCAGUGGCGAAGGCGGCUUGCUGGACUGUAAAUGACGCUGAGGCUCGAAAGCGUGGGGAGCAAACAGGAUUAGAUACCCUCGUA